RNAcentral lists this ribosomal RNA (484 nucleotides) under uncultured bacterium. RNAcentral describes it as "partial 16S ribosomal RNA". It matches the Rfam family "Bacterial small subunit ribosomal RNA", at positions 28 to 523 of the family's 1533-position model. The record is from RNAcentral.
GACGAACGCUGGCGGCGUGCUUAACACAUGCAAGUCGAACGAUGAACCCGGAGCUUGCUCCGGUGGAUCAGUGGCGAACGGGUGAGUAACACGUGAGUAACCUGCCCUUGACUCUGGGAUAACUGCGGGAAACUGUAGCCAAUACCGGAUACGACCCUCGGCGGCAUCGCCAGGGGGUGGAAAGAAUUUCGGGCAAGGAUGGACUGGCGGCCUAUCAGCUAGUUGGUGGGGUAACGGCUCACCAAGGCGACGACGGGGAGACGGCCUGCGAGGGUGGCCGGCCACACUGGGACUGAGACACGGCCCAGACUCCUACGGGAGGCAGCAGUGGGGAAUAUUGCACAAUGGGCGCAAGCCUGAUGCAGCAACGCCGCGUGAGGGAUGACGGCCUUCGGGUUGUAAACCUCCUUUAGUAGGGAAGAAGCGAAAGUGACGGUACCUGCAGAAAAAGCACCGGCUAACUACGUGCCAGCCGCCGCGGUAA